Molecule: ribosomal RNA, 505 nt
Filed under: uncultured bacterium
Lineage: Bacteria
Description: partial 16S ribosomal RNA
Rfam family: Bacterial small subunit ribosomal RNA
Source: RNAcentral
GACGAACGCUGGCGGCGUGCCUAAUACAUGCAAGUAGAACGCACAGUUUAUACCGUAGCUUGCUACACCAUAAACUGUGAGUUGCGAACGGGUGAGUAACGCGUAGGUAACCUGCCUGGUAGCGGGGGAUAACUAUUGGAAACGAUAGCUAAUACCGCAUAAUAUUGAUUAUUGCAUGAUAAUUGAUUGAAAGAUGCUAUUGCAUCACUACCAGAUGGACCUGCGUUGUAUUAGCUAGUAGGUGAGGUAACGGCUCACCUAGGCGACGAUACAUAGCCGACCUGAGAGGGUGAUCGGCCACACUGGGACUGAGACACGGCCCAGACUCCUACGGGAGGCAGCAGUAGGGAAUCUUCGGCAAUGGACGAAAGUCUGACCGAGAAACGCCGCGUGAGUGAAGAAGGUUUUCGGAUCGUAAAGAUCUGUUGUAAGGGGAGAACGGGUGUGAGAGUGGAAAGUUCACACUGUGACGGUAUCUUACCAGAAAGGGACGGCUAACUACGUG